CUCGACCCCUGUAGUUUAUAGCUAAGUCAACACACGGCCAUCAAAGACUUUAAAAAAAUCAUUUGUAUUUCAUUUUGACUUUUAUACAAUGCAAUAGUUUAGGAUAGUAAGCCAAACCAUGUGAUUAACUAUGUUUCAAAGCCAAUUAUGAAAGUGGGUUAGGUUACAUAAUUUCCAAACCAAUUCAAUACCAAAAAUCAUUAAUUUGGGAGAAUGCCAUGUCCCCAU
Molecule: long non-coding RNA, 228 nt
Filed under: Capsicum annuum
Lineage: Eukaryota; Viridiplantae; Streptophyta; Magnoliopsida; Solanales; Solanaceae
Description: long non-coding RNA (CANN_LNC011383)
Source: RNAcentral